This 877-nucleotide ribosomal RNA is filed under the name uncultured eukaryote. RNAcentral's name for it is "SSU rRNA". It matches the Rfam family "Eukaryotic small subunit ribosomal RNA", at positions 566 to 1462 of the family's 1831-position model. The record is from RNAcentral.
GCCAGCAGCCGCGGUAAUUCCAGCUCCAAUAGCGUAUACUAAAGUUGUUGCGGUUAAAAAGCUCGUAGUUGGAUCUUGGAAUGUGUUCAAGCGGGUCAGCUUCUGGCUGUGCGCUGCUUGACGUGUUCUUCUAUUUGGUUUUGGUGCGGUGCGCUUAACUGCGUGUCGCUCCCGGCCGAAACGUUUACCUUGAAAAAAUUAGAGUGUUCAAAGCAGACCUGUUUGAGUCUGAAUAUUCGUGCAUGGAAUAAUGAAAUAUGAAUUCGGUUCUAUUUUGUUGGUUUUCGGAACUCGAGUUAAUGAUCAAGAGGGACAGACGGGGGCAUUCGUACUCUGCCGUUAGAGGUGAAAUUCUUGGAUCGGCGGAAGACGCGCAACUGCGAAAGCAUUUGCCAAGAAUGUUUUCUUUAAUCAAGAACGAUAGUCGGAGGUUCGAAGACGAUCAGAUACCGUCCUAGUUUCGACUGUAAACUAUGCCAGCUAACGAUCAGACAGAGUUCUCUACGACUUGUCUGGCAGUUUCCGGGAAACCAAAGCGUUUGGGUUCCGGGGGAAGUAUGGUUGCAAAGCUGAAACUUAAAGGAAUUGACGGAAGGGCACCACCAGGAGUGGAGCCUGCGGCUUAAUUUGACUCAACACGGGGAAACUCACCCGGCCCGGACACAGUGAGGAUUGACAGAUUGAGAGUUCUUUCUUGAUUCUGUGGGUGGUGGUGCAUGGCCGUUCUUAGUUGGUGGAGCGAUUUGUCUGGUUAAUUCCGAUAACGAACGAGACUCUGGCAUGUUAAAUAGUCGCGGAAGUGCGUAUGCACUUGCCGAAUUGACUUCUUAGAGGGACUAGUGAUUUUAAUUCACACGAGAUUGAGCAAUAACAGGUC